AUGCAUAUGUUCGUGGUCGCGCUUGCCACUGCCCUCUCCUCAAGGGCAUGUAUCAUUUCUUAAACUCUGCUAUCUUUUCCCAAGUCUUUAUUAUCUUGCCUAGCCUUGUACUAAUAUGUAUUGUUUGCUGCUAAUUACCCAAGAUAGUGCCUGAUGUUAAGGAUAACCUGAGAACACAUGCCUAAGUUUAUAAGAUAUGACAUGUGACAGUGUUGCUGCUGUUUGAAUGCUUCUACUGCUAGCUGCUUGCUUGAAUAGGUGUGCACUUGUGCUGGUGGUGGUGCUGCUACUGCUCAUUCUUGUGCUGCUAACAAAAUUGAAUAUAAUCAUUCUUGUUGGAUCAUGCAGACAUGUAUGUGCUGCUAAUUCUUGUGCUGCUAACACAUUCUUGUACUGCUCAUUCUUGUGAUGCUUAAGUUGUUGAUUGCCUAAUUUUAUUCAUCGUCUCCGGAAUAAAUUCAUUUGAUUGCCUACUACAUCUCCACUUAAAUACUCAUAAUGCUACUGUCUAGGUUUUGUUCAAUUGGACUGACUACAUAUCUCUUGUUAAAAUUAUGGUCUUGAUCUUUUGUUUAAACCUGAGACAUCAUGCAUAACUAGCUCUUCCUUUUCAGUCUAAACCUGAGACCUCUUUUGUUCUAUAUUCAGAUCUGACUGAUGGCCACAGUGCUGUUUUGCUGUGAUUGAUAAACCUGAGACUUCUUUUUAUUGUAAUAUUGAAGUUGUUUGGUUCUGGCCUCAGCAGCAGUACACUCUAAUUUUGGUGGCCUUUAUGUUCAUUCUUUUACAGGAGCUCCAGGCCUAUUUUUUUGGAGUGUGAAACCGUGAAGCCAAGUGUGAAGCUGUGAAGCCAAGUGUGAAGCAGUACUUAGCAAAGAGUUUUUGGUUCUGUACUUAGCAAAGAGUUUUUGGUUCUGAAGUGUGAAGCCAAGUGUAAAUUGUAAUAUUGUAAAAGUCUAAUGUAGUGUUAAUGAAUUAUAUCUGUUCUGUCCUAUUUGAAAUAAUGAUUAUGUAUGUUGAAAAGAUGUGAAAUGGAA
RNAcentral lists this long non-coding RNA (1037 nucleotides) under Triticum aestivum (bread wheat). Its description in RNAcentral is "long non-coding RNA (TAES_LNC027551)". Lineage: Eukaryota; Viridiplantae; Streptophyta; Magnoliopsida; Poales; Poaceae. The record is from RNAcentral.